UGGGGAAUAUUGGACAAUGGGCGCAAGCCUGAUCCAGCCAUGCCGCGUGGAUGAUGAAGGCCUUAGGGUUGUAAAAUCCUUUCGUGGGGGACGAUAAUGACGGUACCCCAAGAAGAAGCUCCGGCUAACUUCGUGCCAGCAGCCGCGGUAAUACGAAGGGGGCUAGCGUUGUUCGGAUUUACUGGGCGUAAAGCGCGUGUAGGCGGGUCGUUAAGUUGGGGGUGAAAUCCCGAGGCUCAACCUCGGAACUGCCUUCAAAACUGGCGACCUGGACUCAAGCAGAGGCAAGUGGAAUUGCGAGUGUAGAGGUGAAAUUCGUAGAUAUUCGCAGGAACACCAGUGGCGAAGGCGACUUGCUGGGCUUGUAAUGACGCUGAGACGCGAAAGCGUGGGGAGCAAACAGGAUUAGAUACCCCGGUAGUCCCUGAGCGGGCUGGCAAGGCGCAU
This 447-nucleotide ribosomal RNA is filed under the name uncultured bacterium. Its description in RNAcentral is "bacterial SSU rRNA". It matches the Rfam family "Bacterial small subunit ribosomal RNA", at positions 355 to 825 of the family's 1533-position model. The record is from RNAcentral.